CACACCGCCCGUCGCUACUACCGAUUGAAUGGUUCAGUGAGGCGUUCGGACUGGCCCAGGGAGGUCGGCAACGACCACCCAGGGCCGGAAAGUUCUCCAAACUCGAUCAUUUAGAGGAAGUAAAAGUCGUAACAAGGUCUCCGUUGGUGAACCAGCGGAGGGAUCAUUGACGCGUAGAAGACCCCGAAAGGGGGAUUCUGUCACACCCUUUGUCAACUUAUAAACUAUCGUUGCCUCGGCGCAAGGCCGGGGGAGGUCACACUCCCCCCCGCCCCCUCUGAGGGGGCGGAGCAGGCCCGCCGGCGGCCCUAUAAACUCUUGUUUUUACAGUGUCACCUCUGAGUAUAAACACAAAUGAAUCAAAACUUUCAACAACGGAUCUCUUGGUUCUGGCAUCGAUGAAGAACGCAGCGAAAUGCGAUAAGUAAUGUGAAUUGCAGAAUUCAGUGAAUCAUCGAAUCUUUGAACGCACAUUGCGCCCGGUGGUAUUCCACCGGGCAUGCCUGUUCGAGCGUCAUUACAACCCUCAAGCUCUGCUUGGUGUUGGGGCGCUGCCUCCCUCUAGCGGUGGCAGGCCCUUAAAUCUAGUGGCGAGCUCGCCAGGACUCCGAGCGCAGUAGUUUUACCACCUCGCUUAGGAAGGACUGGCGGUGCCCUGCCGUAAAACCCCCCACUAUAUCUAAAAGGUUGACCUCGGAUCAGGUAGGAAUACCCGCUGAACUUAAGCAUAUCAAUAAGCGGAGGAAAAGAAACCAACAGGGAUUGCCCUAGUAACGGCGAGUGAAGCGGCAACAGCUCAAAUUUGAAAUCUGGCCUCGGCCCGAGUUGUAAUUUGCAGAGGAUGCUUUUGGCGCGGUGCCUUCCGAGUUCCCUGGAACGGGACGCCACAGAGGGUGAGAGCCCCGUAUGGUUGGACACCAAGCCUGUGUAAAGCUCCUUCGACGAGUCGAGUAGUUUGGGAAUGCUGCUCAAAAUGGGAGGUAAAUCUCUUCUAAAGCUAAAUACCGGCCAGAGACCGAUAGCGCACAAGUAGAGUGAUCGAAAGAUGAAAAGCACCUUGAAAAGGGGGUUAAACAGUACGUGAAAUUGUUGAAAGGGAAGCGCUUGUGACCAGACUUGCGCCUGGCGGCUCAUCCGGGGUUCUCUCCGGUGCACUCCGCCAGGCUCAGGCCAGCAUCGGUUCUGGCGGGGGGAUAAGAUCGGCGGGAACGUAGCACCCUCCGGGGUGUGUUAUAGCCCGCCGAACGAUACCCUCGCGGGGACCGAGGUUCGCGCUCCGCAAGGAUGCUGGCGUAAUGGUCAUCAGCGACCCGUCUUGAAACACGGACCAAGGAGUCGUCCAUUAUAGCGAGCGUUUGGGUGUAAAACCCGCACGCGUAAUGAAAGUGAAAUUAGGUGAGAGCUUCGGCGCAUCAUCGACCGAUCCUGAUGUUCUCGGAAGGAUUUGAGUAAGAGUUAUAACGGACGGACCCGAAAGACAGUGAACUAUGCUUGUAUAGGGUGAAGCCAGAGGAAACUCUGGUGGAGGCUCGCAGCGGUUCUGACGUGCAAAUCGAUCGUCAAAUAUGAGCAUGGGGGCGAAAGACUAAUCGAAC
RNAcentral lists this ribosomal RNA (1595 nucleotides) under Stegonsporium opalus. RNAcentral describes it as "eukaryotic LSU rRNA". The stretch from base 689 to 1595 matches the Rfam family "Eukaryotic large subunit ribosomal RNA", at positions 1 to 940 of the family's 3401-position model. Lineage: Eukaryota; Fungi; Ascomycota; Sordariomycetes; Diaporthales; Stilbosporaceae. The record is from RNAcentral.